Ustulina deusta is the source of this 86-nucleotide non-coding RNA. NCBI's taxonomy places the organism in Eukaryota, Fungi, Ascomycota, Sordariomycetes, Xylariales, Xylariaceae. The record is from the annotation of a GenBank genome assembly.
CUCCUGAUAGCUCAGUUGGUAGAGCGAUGGACUGUAAUGGGAAUAUAGAUAUCCACAGGUCGUGUGUUCGACUCACACUCAGGAGA